Molecule: long non-coding RNA, 584 nt
Filed under: Mus spicilegus (steppe mouse)
Lineage: Eukaryota; Metazoa; Chordata; Mammalia; Rodentia; Muridae
Description: lncRNA (ENSMSIG00000020530.1)
Source: RNAcentral
CAGCUUUUCUCGGAGGGCAGGGCUGGUGUUAAUGGCUCUUAUGUGGUAUUCAGAAUAAUAGAAUUACUAAGAAGAGCUCCAGUUUGCUAAAAAUCUUGUGGAUUUCCACCAUCCAUCUUUCCCUUCUCCUCAUCAGAAUAUGAGACAAGUCGAUGCAAAGAGGAUGAUCUGCAAACAGGAAGACAGGAACAGCCCAUCUCCAAAUCCCUAGAAAGCUUGUUCAAUGCCAGAAGUACAGAGGCACUGCAGCAAAAGUCACGAGAGCGGGAAAACUCAGAGCAGCAGCAAUCGGAGCUGUCAGUAUUGCAAUACUGGACCUGUCUUCCUGCCGUCCUGUCAAGAUAACACACUCAAGGUAACCCUGACCACGCCACUGUAGAGCUGAUGAAGGAUUGGAAGGUCACCGUUACUGCUUUGUAUCGUCUAACACAGCUCGCUCCUAUCAACAUAAGUGAUUUUUCUAGGUAAGUGUGGCUAUUGAUUAAGAAUAUGACUUCCCUCUGGAAUCCUGCCAAGAAUAUGAGAUUAAAAUUUUAUUUUCUUCGGCGCAGGAAUAAAGUAAACAAAGUAUCAGCUAUGGCUCA